Molecule: non-coding RNA, 190 nt
Organism: Ceratotherium simum simum (southern white rhinoceros)
Lineage: Eukaryota; Metazoa; Chordata; Mammalia; Perissodactyla; Rhinocerotidae
Source: RefSeq, a predicted model, not a curated record
GUUUUUCUUGUUACCUCCCCCUUAACUGCCCAAAAGAAUUCAGAUUAAAAAAAUCUGUCUCAGGAAGGGAGCUAUUGCCUUAGCAUAACAUGAGCCAGGUGGUAGCCAGGGAAGAACCUAGAAAAGCCAGUUUGCUGGGCUCCCCUCUCUGUUCUUCUGUUUCUGUGGCCAAAGAAACACUGUCUUCCAA